UAUUUUGGUCAAGGUAAUUAUAAUACCAAGAACUGAGUAGAUUUGAAAAUUCACGAAAGAAGUCCAGAAAUACCAGCAGCAAGAUGAAGAGCGACGUCGGCAGCUGAGAGAGAGAGCUCGUCAGCUAAUAGCAGAAGCUCGAUCUGGAGUGAAGAUGUCAGAACUUCCCAGCUAUGGUGAAAUGGCUGCAGAAAAGUUGAAAGAAAGGUCAAAGGCAUCUGGAGAACAAAACAGUAAGUUGGUGGACUUGAAGCUGAAGAAGCUCCUAGAAGUUCAGCCACAGGUGGCAAAUUCAUCCUCCAGUGCUGCCCAGAAAGCUGUAACUGAGAGCUCAGAGCAGGACAUGAAAAAUGGCACAGAAGAUCUCCGGACUGAACGAUUACAAAAAACAACACAACGUUUUAGAAAUCCUGUUGUGUUCGGCAAAGAUUCUACAGUCAGAAAAACUCAACUUCAGUCUUUCAGCCAAUAUAUUGAGAAUAGACCAGAGAUGAAAAGGCAGAGAUCAAUACAGGAAGAUACAAAGAAAGGAAAUGAGGAGAAGGCAGCGAUAACUGAAACUCAGAGGAAGCCAUCAGAAGAUGAAGUGCUUAAUAAAGGGUUCAAAGACACCAGUCAGUAUGUUGUAGGAGAAUUGGCAGCACUAGAGAAUGAGCAAAAGCAAAUUGACACCCGUGCCGCGCUGGUGGAGAAGCGCCUUCGCUAUCUCAUGGACACAGGAAGGAACACAGAAGAAGAAGAAGCUAUGAUGCAGGAAUGGUUUAUGUUAGUUAAUAAGAAAAAUGCCUUAAUAAGGAGAAUGAAUCAGCUCUCUCUUCUGGAAAAAGAACAUGAUUUAGAACGACGGUAUGAGCUGCUGAACCGGGAAUUGCGGGCAAUGCUAGCCAUUGAAGACUGGCAGAAGACCGAGGCCCAGAAGCGACGGGAGCAGCUCCUGCUAGACGAGCUGGUGGCCCUGGUGAACAAGCGCGAUGCGCUCGUCAGGGACCUGGACGCGCAGGAGAAGCAGGCCGAAGAAGAAGAUGAGCAUUUGGAGCGAACUCUGGAGCAAAACAAAGGCAAGAUGGCCAAGAAAGAGGAGAAAUGUGUUCUUCAGUAGCCAUCAGAUCAGAAAGAAUCUCUCCCAACAUUUUAGAGUCUUGCUUCCCAAACCAGAAAAAGUCAGACUCAUUGUUGAUUUAAAACUUCUAACAUUUUGUUUGGCUGGAUUGUACUACUUUACCUCUACUUUACCACCACCACCCUUUCCCUCCCUCCUUUCC
RNAcentral lists this small RNA (1262 nucleotides) under Pongo abelii (Sumatran orangutan). RNAcentral's name for it is "processed transcript". The record is from RNAcentral. Lineage: Eukaryota; Metazoa; Chordata; Mammalia; Primates; Hominidae.